GCAAGUCGAGGGGUAACAGGGAAGCUUGCUUCUGCUGACGACCGGCGCACGGGUGCGUAACGCGUAUACAAUCUGCCUCACACUGAGGGAUAGCCUUUGGAAACGAAGAUUAAUACCUCAUAGUAUUAUUUAAUGGCAUCAUUAAAUAAUUAAAGGUUACGGUGUGAGAUGAGUAUGCGUCCUAUUAGCUUGUUGGUAAGGUAACGGCUUACCAAGACAUCGAUAGGUAGGGGUCCUGAGAGGGAGAUC
RNAcentral lists this ribosomal RNA (249 nucleotides) under uncultured bacterium. RNAcentral describes it as "partial 16S ribosomal RNA". It matches the Rfam family "Bacterial small subunit ribosomal RNA", at positions 57 to 305 of the family's 1533-position model. The record is from RNAcentral.